This 645-nucleotide ribosomal RNA is filed under the name Pseudogemmobacter blasticus. RNAcentral describes it as "bacterial SSU rRNA". It matches the Rfam family "Bacterial small subunit ribosomal RNA", at positions 65 to 756 of the family's 1533-position model. The record is from RNAcentral. Lineage: Bacteria; Pseudomonadati; Pseudomonadota; Alphaproteobacteria; Rhodobacterales; Paracoccaceae.
AGCGAGAUCUUCGGAUCUAGCGGCGGACGGGUGAGUAACGCGUGGGAACGUGCCUCUUGCUACGGAAUAGCCCUGGGAAACUGGGAGUAAUACCGUAUGUGCCCUUCGGGGGAAAGAUUUAUCGGCAAGAGAUCGGCCCGCGUUGGAUUAGGUAGUUGGUGGGGUAAUGGCCUACCAAGCCGACGAUCCAUAGCUGGUUUGAGAGGAUGAUCAGCCACACUGGGACUGAGACACGGCCCAGACUCCUACGGGAGGCAGCAGUGGGGAAUCUUAGACAAUGGGCGCAAGCCUGAUCUAGCCAUGCCGCGUGAGCGAUGAAGGCCUUAGGGUUGUAAAGCUCUUUCAGCGAGGAAGAUAAUGACUGUACUCGCAGAAGAAGCCCCGGCUAACUCCGUGCCAGCAGCCGCGGUAAUACGGAGGGGGCUAGCGUUGUUCGGAAUUACUGGGCGUAAAGCGCACGUAGGCGGACUGGAAAGUCAGGGGUGAAAUCCCGGGGCUCAACCCCGGAACUGCCUUUGAAACUCCCAGUCUUGAGUUCGAGAGAGGUGAGUGGAAUUCCGAGUGUAGAGGUGAAAUUCGUAGAUAUUCGGAGGAACACCAGUGGCGAAGGCGGCUCACUGGCUCGAUACUGACGCUGAGGUGCGA